GGAGAGGUGGGUGAGUGGCUGAAACCAGCGGUUUGCUAAACCGCCGUAGGGCUAAUAACCCUACCGCCGGUUCGAAUCCGGCCCUCUCCGCCA
RNAcentral lists this transfer RNA (93 nucleotides) under Acidobacteriota bacterium. RNAcentral describes it as "tRNA-Ser". It matches the Rfam family "tRNA". Rfam says of the family: Transfer RNA (tRNA) molecules are approximately 80 nucleotides in length. Their secondary structure includes four short double-helical elements and three loops (D, anti-codon, and T loops). Further hydrogen bonds mediate the characteristic L-shaped molecular structure. tRNAs have two regions of fundamental functional importance: the anti-codon, which is responsible for specific mRNA codon recognition, and the 3' end, to which the tRNAs corresponding amino acid is attached (by aminoacyl-tRNA synthetases). tRNAs cope with the degeneracy of the genetic code in two manners: having more than one tRNA (with a specific anti-codon) for a particular amino acid; and 'wobble' base-pairing, i.e. permitting non-standard base-pairing at the 3rd anti-codon position. Lineage: Bacteria; Pseudomonadati; Acidobacteriota. RNAcentral also lists the same sequence under 3 other names. The record is from RNAcentral.